AUUGAACGCUGGCGGCAGGCUUAACACAUGCAAGUCGAGCGGGGUGAUGGUGCUUGCACUAUCACUUAGCGGCGGACGGGUGAGUAAUGCUUAGGAAUCUGCCUAUUAGUGGGGGACAACAUCUCGAAAGGGAUGCUAAUACCGCAUACGUCCUACGGGAGAAAGCAGGGGAUCACUUGUGACCUUGCGCUAAUAGAUGAGCCUAAGUCGGAUUAGCUAGUUGGUGGGGUAAAGGCCUACCAAGGCGACGAUCUGUAGCGGGUCUGAGAGGAUGAUCCGCCACACUGGGGCUGAGACACGGCCCAGACUCCUACGGGAGGCAGCAGUGGGGAAUAUUGGACAAUGGGGGGAACCCUGAUCCAGCCAUGCCGCGUGUGUGAAGAAGGCCUUAUGGUUGUAAAGCACUUUAAGCGAGGAGGAGGCUCUUUUGGUUAAUACCCAAGAUGAGUGGACGUUACUCGCAGAAUAAGCACCGGCUAACUCCGUGCCAGCAGCCGCAGUAA
RNAcentral lists this ribosomal RNA (503 nucleotides) under uncultured bacterium. RNAcentral describes it as "partial 16S ribosomal RNA". It matches the Rfam family "Bacterial small subunit ribosomal RNA", at positions 30 to 523 of the family's 1533-position model. The record is from RNAcentral.